RNAcentral lists this ribosomal RNA (468 nucleotides) under uncultured bacterium. RNAcentral describes it as "partial 16S ribosomal RNA". It matches the Rfam family "Bacterial small subunit ribosomal RNA", at positions 28 to 507 of the family's 1533-position model. The record is from RNAcentral.
GACGAACGCUGGCGGUGUGCUUAACACAUGCAAGUCGAACGGUAAGGCCCUUUCGGGGGUACACGAGUGGCGAACGGGUGAGUAACACGUGAGUAACCUGCCCUCAUCUCUGGGAUAACAGUCGGAAACGGUUGCUAAUACUGGAUAUGAGCUUGCAAGGCAUCUUGUGGGUUGGAAAGAUUUUUUUUGGUUGGGGAUGGACUCGCGGCCUAUCAGCUUGUUGGUGAGGUAGUGGCUCACCAAGGCUUCGACGGGUAGCCGGCCUGAGAGGGCGACCGGCCACAUUGGGACUGAGAUACGGCCCAAACUCCUACGGGAGGCAGCAGUGAGGAAUAUUGCACAAUGGACGGAAGUCUGAUGCAGCAACGCCGCGUGCGGGAUGACGGCCUUCGGGUUGUAAACCGCUUUCAAUUGUGACGAAGCUUUUUUGUGACGGUAGCAGUAGAAGAAGCACCGGCUAACUACGUG